This 620-nucleotide ribosomal RNA is filed under the name uncultured bacterium. RNAcentral describes it as "bacterial SSU rRNA". It matches the Rfam family "Bacterial small subunit ribosomal RNA", at positions 73 to 716 of the family's 1533-position model. The record is from RNAcentral.
GCCUAGCUUGCUAAGCUUGUUUUUAGUGGCGCACGGGUGAGUAACACGUGAGUUACCUGCCCCCAAGAGUGGGAUAGCCCCGGGAAACUGGGAUUAAUACCGCAUAAUAUCGCAAGAUUAAAGGUGCAAACCGCUUGGGGAUGGGCUCGCGGCCUAUUAGUUAGUUGGUGAGGUAACGGCUCACCAAGGCGAUGACGGGUAGCCGGUCUGAGAGGAUGUCCGGCCACACUGGAACUGAGACACGGUCCAGACACCUACGGGUGGCAGCAGUCGAGAAUCAUUCACAAUGGGGGAAACCCUGAUGGUGCGACGCCGCGUGGGGGAGCGAAGGUCUUCGGAUUGUAAACCCCUGUCAAGUGGGAGCAAAUUAAAAAGAUAGUACCACUAGAGGAAGAGACGGCUAACUCUGUGCCAGCAGCCGCGGUAAUACAGAGGUCUCAAGCGUUGUUCGGAAUCACUGGGCGUAAAGCGUACGUAGGCGGCUUGGUAAGUCGUGUGUGAAAGGCAGGGGCUCAACCUCUGGACUGCACAUGAUACUGCCAGGCUAGAGUAAUGGAGGGGAAACCGGAAUUCUCGGUGUAGCAGUGAAAUGCGUAGAUAUCGAGAGGAACACUCGUGGC